RNAcentral lists this ribosomal RNA (460 nucleotides) under uncultured bacterium. RNAcentral's name for it is "partial 16S ribosomal RNA". It matches the Rfam family "Bacterial small subunit ribosomal RNA", at positions 338 to 795 of the family's 1533-position model. The record is from RNAcentral.
CCUACGGGUGGCAGCAGUGAGGAAUAUUGGUCAAUGGGCGUAAGCCUGAACCAGCCAAGUCGCGUGCGGGAUGAAGGUUCUAUGGAUCGUAAACCUCUUUUAUAAGGGGAUAACGUGUGCGACGUGUCCUAUUUUGUAUGUACCAUAUGAAUAAGGAUCGGCUAACUCCGUGCCAGCAGCCGCGGUAAUACGGAGGAUCCGAGCGUUAUCCGGAUUCAUUGGGUUUAAAGGGUGCGUAGGUUGUUUUAUAAGUUAGCGGUGAAAUACCGCGGCUCAACAUCGGGGCUGCCGCUAAUACUGUAGGACUAGAGAUCGGAUGCGGCAGGCGGAAUGUGUAGUGUAGCGGUGAAAUGCAUAGAUAUUACACAGAACACCGAUUGCGAAGGCAGCUUGCUAGGCUGCAUCGGACACUGAUGCACGAAAGCGUGGGGAUCGAACAGGAUUAGAUACCCGAGUAGUC